RNAcentral lists this ribosomal RNA (497 nucleotides) under uncultured bacterium. RNAcentral's name for it is "partial 16S ribosomal RNA". It matches the Rfam family "Bacterial small subunit ribosomal RNA", at positions 28 to 507 of the family's 1533-position model. The record is from RNAcentral.
GAUGAACGCUGGCGGCGUGCCUAAUACAUGCAAGUCGGGCGAACGGACGAGAAGCUUGCUUCUCUGAUGUUAGCGGCGGACGGGUGAGUAACACGUGGAUAACCUACCUAUAAGACUGGGAUAACUUCGGGAAACCGGAGCUAAUACCGGAUAAUAUUUUGAACCGCAUGGUUCAAAAGUGAAAGACGGUCUUGCUGUCACUUAUAGAUGGAUCCGCGCUGCAUUAGCUAGUUGGUAAGGUAACGGCUUACCAAGGCAACGAUGCAUAGCCGACCUGAGGGGGUGAUCGGCCACACUGGAACUGAGACACGGUCCAGACUCCUACGGGAGGCAGCAGUAGGGAAUCUUCCGCAAUGGGCGAAAGCCUGACGGAGCAACGCCGCGUGAGUGAUGAAGGUCUUCGGAUCGUAAAACUCUGUUAUUAGGGAAGAACAUAUGUGUAAGUAACUGUGCACAUCUUGACGGUACCUAAUCAGAAAGCCACGGCUAACUACGUG